Molecule: non-coding RNA, 25 nt
Filed under: Mus musculus (house mouse)
Lineage: Eukaryota; Metazoa; Chordata; Mammalia; Rodentia; Muridae
Source: RNAcentral
UGUUGAUGGUGUCCUUCGAGCCUGC